Molecule: ribosomal RNA, 1031 nt
Filed under: Acinetobacter baumannii
Lineage: Bacteria; Pseudomonadati; Pseudomonadota; Gammaproteobacteria; Moraxellales; Moraxellaceae
Description: bacterial SSU rRNA
Rfam family: Bacterial small subunit ribosomal RNA
Source: RNAcentral
ACCUGGCUCAGAUUGAACGCUGGCGGCAGGCUUAACACAUGCAAGUCGAGCGGGGGAAGGUAGCUUGCUACUGGACCUAGCGGCGGACGGGUGAGUAAUGCUUAGGAAUCUGCCUAUUAGUGGGGGACAACAUCUCGAAAGGGAUGCUAAUACCGCAUACGUCCUACGGGAGAAAGCAGGGGAUCUUCGGACCUUGCGCUAAUAGAUGAGCCUAAGUCGGAUUAGCUAGUUGGUGGGGUAAAGGCCUACCAAGGCGACGAUCUGUAGCGGGUCUGAGAGGAUGAUCCGCCACACUGGGACUGAGACACGGCCCAGACUCCUACGGGAGGCAGCAGUGGGGAAUAUUGGACAAUGGGGGGAACCCUGAUCCAGCCAUGCCGCGUGUGUGAAGAAGGCCUUAUGGUUGUAAAGCACUUUAAGCGAGGAGGAGGCUACUUUAGUUAAUACCUAGAGAUAGUGGACGUUACUCGCAGAAUAAGCACCGGCUAACUCUGUGCCAGCAGCCGCGGUAAUACAGAGGGUGCGAGCGUUAAUCGGAUUUACUGGGCGUAAAGCGUGCGUAGGCGGCUUAUUAAGUCGGAUGUGAAAUCCCCGAGCUUAACUUGGGAAUUGCAUUCGAUACUGGUGAGCUAGAGUAUGGGAGAGGAUGGUAGAAUUCCAGGUGUAGCGGUGAAAUGCGUAGAGAUCUGGAGGAAUACCGAUGGCGAAGGCAGCCAUCUGGCCUAAUACUGACGCUGAGGUACGAAAGCAUGGGGAGCAAACAGGAUUAGAUACCCUGGUAGUCCAUGCCGUAAACGAUGUCUACUAGCCGUUGGGGCCUUUGAGGCUUUAGUGGCGCAGCUAACGCGAUAAGUAGACCGCCUGGGGAGUACGGUCGCAAGACUAAAACUCAAAUGAAUUGACGGGGGCCCGCACAAGCGGUGGAGCAUGUGGUUUAAUUCGAUGCAACGCGAAGAACCUUACCUGGCCUUGACAUACUAGAAACUUUCCAGAGAUGGAUUGGUGCCUUCGGGAAUCUAGAUACAGGUGCU